AAAUCUGAAGUUAAACUUAUCCUAGAAAGAAUUGAAUGUAGCCAUAAUACUAAUAUUUUCUUCUCUUUUUUAUACAAUUUUAGCAAAUCGGUCUUUACAAUAGUAACUUAACAUCCUCGCAGAUAUAAGCAAACAAAGAUCUAAUGCCUUCAUGCUCAACAAAUUGAAAUGGUAGAUCAUGCUUAAUAAUUGCAAAUGUUAGCAAUUCACGAAAUUUUUCGAGAUCAAAUUUAGUAGAAUGCAUUGACACGGAACCUUCAAAUUAUGAUAAGAUUAUUUGUCCUAUGUCACGAUUCUUUCUACAACCCUCUAUAUGAUAUUUCAGAUUUUUGGUCCCAACCUUACUGCCAUAUAGAUAUUCUAUACCACACUUCUUGCACUUACAUCUUUGAGUUGCCUCGUUUGUAUGAAAGAACUGAUAAAUAGGUGAAGUUGGUUUUCUUUUACGUUUGCUUUGUGCAAAUUCACCCACUACAAUCGUAUUAGAACCUAAAGGUGUAAAUUCAUUAGACUUAUCAUCGUCACUCUCCAACUCCUCAUUCACAUUGAACACUUUGUCCAUCAAUAUAAUAUAAUUUAAAAUUAUAUUAGAAGAGCAAUCUAGAAAGAAAAUGAUUGGCUUUGAGGAGUAAUUUAUAAAUAUGUCCAAACAUGAUUAAAGAAAUUAGUAAUCUUAAAGAAAUGAAAGAAAUAUUUAAGAAACUAACACACAUAACCAGCAAACAUUUAGAAAAGCAAACAUGGGAAGAGGAAGAAGAGGCUCAGACUCGUCAUUUAAUUUUCAGCUAAAUCAAAACGUUUGCAAUCGGUGCCUGCAUAAGUAGGCCAUCCAAGAUUGCAUGCCUGGCAUAAAAAAUAGCUGAUUCUUGCUUCACAAAUUAGCAAAAACUGAUCCAAGAAUCAUCCUAGCCUCUUCAUACAAACAUAAAAACAAAGAAGGAAAGAGGAAGAGGAGGCUCAGAGUCAUCAUUUUAUUUGCAGCUAAAUCAAAAUGGUUGCAAUCGGUUGCCUGCAAAAGCAGGCCAUCCAAGAUUGCUUACUGUCAGAAAUAGCUGAUUCUUGCUUCAUAAAUCACCAAAAACUCAUCCAAGAAUCAUCCCAGCCUCUAAAUACAACAUAGAAGUAAUGUCAUAACUGCAGAAUUUGGG
This 1148-nucleotide long non-coding RNA is filed under the name Phoenix dactylifera (date palm). Its description in RNAcentral is "long non-coding RNA (PDAC_LNC015699)". The record is from RNAcentral. Lineage: Eukaryota; Viridiplantae; Streptophyta; Magnoliopsida; Arecales; Arecaceae.